This 1545-nucleotide ribosomal RNA is filed under the name Triticum aestivum (bread wheat). Its description in RNAcentral is "partial small subunit ribosomal RNA". The record is from RNAcentral. Lineage: Eukaryota; Viridiplantae; Streptophyta; Magnoliopsida; Poales; Poaceae.
AUGCGAUUCAAUGAUGUAGAGAAAGCAAGGGAGUUUUAUAACAGAUACGCCAGACAUGCUGGUUUUGGAAUCAGGAAGACGGGUGGAAAUGACAACCACAAGUAUUUUGUUUGCGCCUUCCAAGGGAUACACACAUCUUCAGUUUCAGAGGCCAGCAGGAAGCAAAACAAAACAUCGCAGAGGACGGGCUGCAAUGCAAGAAUGAGGGUGAAGGUGCAGGAGGAUGGCACAUGUGUGGCAGUGGAUAUUGAGUAUAAUCAUAAUCACCAGCUCAGGCAAACUGAUGACAUGCUGGUGUUUUUGCACUCACACAAGAAUUAUGACCCCGCUAUUUUGGAUUACGUAAAGCUCUUGUAGUACCAUGAUGUCAAGCACACAACAAUCAUGUCCAUGGUAUCUGAAAAUGAAGAUGGAAGCUACUUCCUAAGCAUGACCGGACGAGACCUGCUAAACCAGAAAGCCAUGAAUGCAAGGAAAGAUGAUAUUGAUGACGUAUUGAAACUUGUUUCAUUCUUCAAAGACAUGAAGGCGAUAAAUGAUGAGUUUUUCUAUGACAUCCAAGUGGACAAGGACAAGUCAAUUAAAAGCAUUUUCUUGUCCAAUGCAAGCUGCCGAGGAGCCUAUCAAGACUUCGGCGAUUGCGUAACAUUCGACAAGACUUACAAGACCAACAGAUUUCAUAUGCCCCUGGGAGUGUUUGUUGGAACAAACCAUCACUUGCAGUCAACGAUAUUUGUUGUUGCCCUGAUAAGAGAUAAAGAUGCAAAGUCAUUCAAGUGGUGCCAAUGCCCAUCGAUGGCGAAAGCUGUACCACAAUCAUUUACAAACACCGUCCACAAGCUAUGCCGUUGGCACAUCUUGAAGAAGUACAGGGAAUACCUCGCGUUGCUGUACAAAAAGUAUAAAACAUUCAAAGAGGAGUUCACAACUAUAUUAAACUGGCCGCUGAUGCCAACGGAGUUUGAAGAUGCCUGGGCUAAACUCGUGCACAAGUACAACCUGGAGAACGACCAGAUGAUGAUGCAGCUCUGGAGUGAUAGGAAGAUGUGGAUUUCAGCAUAUUACAAGAACAUUUUCUGUGCUAGAAUGACUUCCACACAACCAAGCGAGAGCAUGAACCACAUGCUAAAGAAAGGAUUUGUCAAGGGGACCCAGAACCUACACAAGUUUGCUAGGCGGGUGAAUGCUUGCAUACAAACUCGGAUGCAGAAGGAGAACGAGCAAACAAUGACCAGCAUGACCAAUCCUAUGACAAAAACAACUUACGGCUACGAGGAAGACAUGUCCAUCAAGUAUACGAGAGCCGUGUACACUGAGAUGAGGAAUAGGAUGAGAAAGGCAACACUAUUGCGUGCAAAGCAUACAGCAGAGCCCACUAAGUACCUUGUGUACUACCACAACAAGCCUAUCCAUGAUGAUGAAGAAAGAUUUUCCUGGUUAAAGCAUGAAUUCCAGGUUGUAGCUGACCCAAAGAAUGAAAUAUACGAGUGUGAAUGCAAGCUCUGGACACAUACAGGUGAGCGAAAAAACAACCUCAUUAAAUAG